CCCUUAGAUGUUCUGGGCCGCACGCGCGCUACACUGACGAUGGCAACGAGUUUUUCCUUCGCCGAAAGGUGUGGGUAAUCUUUUGAAACAUCGUCGUGCUGGGGAUAGAUCAUUGCAAUUUUUGAUCUUGAACGAGGAAUUCCUAGUAAGCGCGAGUCAUCAGCUCGCGUUGAUUACGUCCAUGCCCUUUGUACACACCGCCCGUCGCUACUACCGAUUGAAUGGUUUAGUGAGGACUCCUGAUUGGCGCCGCCGCCCCGGCAACGGAGCAGCGGACUGCCGAAAAGUUGUUCAAACUUGAUCAUUUAGAGGAAGUAAAAGUCGUAACA
This 329-nucleotide ribosomal RNA is filed under the name uncultured eukaryote. Its description in RNAcentral is "partial 18S ribosomal RNA". It matches the Rfam family "Eukaryotic small subunit ribosomal RNA", at positions 1470 to 1796 of the family's 1831-position model. The record is from RNAcentral.